CAGUCGCCACGGGAAUACGUAGGUGGCAAGCGUUGUCCGGAAUUAUUGGGCGUAAAGGGCUCGCAGGCGGUUUCUUAAGUCUGAAGUGAAAGCCCCCGGCUCAACCGGGGAGGGUCAUUGGAAACUGGGAAACUUGAGUGCAGAAGAGGAGAGUGGAAUUCCACGUGUAGCGGUGAAAUGCGUAGAGAUGUGGAGGAACACCAGUGGCGAAGGCGACUCUCUGGUCUGUAACUGACGCUGAGGAGCGAAAGCGUGGGGAGCGAACAGGAUUAGAUACCCCAGUAGUCCCUGUCUCUUAUAC
RNAcentral lists this ribosomal RNA (301 nucleotides) under uncultured bacterium. RNAcentral describes it as "partial 16S ribosomal RNA". It matches the Rfam family "Bacterial small subunit ribosomal RNA", at positions 509 to 807 of the family's 1533-position model. The record is from RNAcentral.